Hevea brasiliensis (rubber tree) is the source of this 1337-nucleotide long non-coding RNA. RefSeq lists it as uncharacterized. The record is from RefSeq and is a predicted model, not a curated record. NCBI's taxonomy places the organism in Eukaryota, Viridiplantae, Streptophyta, Magnoliopsida, Malpighiales, Euphorbiaceae. The transcript is spliced from 2 exons.
CAUUAAUUUCCCUUGUUUUCUUUUGCACGCUAUUUUUUUUUAAUUUAAAUAAAUUUAUUUUUUGGUUUUUGGUGGUUUGUGUUCUGUUUCAGUUUCUGUUGUUAAAUCGUCAGAUUCUCAUCGCUUAAGAAAAGAAAAAAGAAAAAUAAAAAACCCACAAAGAAUCUCUUUUGAGAUCCAACACCACAAUGCCAAUUUCUCUUUAAUCCUGCCCCUAUAACAAUUGCGGUUUUUCUUUCUCUAUCAUUCCCAUUGUCCCUCUAAAUUACCACUAAACCCACUCUUUUCUCACUCAAUUCUGUGCCCAGUGUUCAUUGUUUUGGGUUCCCAGAUUCGAUUCACCUCUAAAGUUUUGUUUUUUUGGACCGGAUCAAAAGCUUCAAUUGAGGCUCUAGUGGAUUUGUGGUGGGGUUUUCAUGGUUGUUUGAUUUGUUGACUUUUGGGUUUGAAUUGCUGAUCAUAAGAAGCUGAGAUUGCUGGGAUUUGUGUUUGGUUGGUGUUGCAUGUAGGGAAUUCUUCAGUUUGGGGCUCAAAUUCAGUGAGUUUUGGUUGAAUGCGGAGAAGGAGAUUUCUAAGGAUUUGGAUUUUAUAAAUUUUAGGGUUUUGGCUUUGAUUUGGUGACUCUACAUGUGUAAGCAGUAAGGGGUCCUCUGCUAGACUGUGGAGGAUCCCUAUUAAUUGUUUUAUUAUUUUCCUAAUUAUUAUUGUUGAAGAGGUUGAGAAAUGCAAAUAAUAACAAUCAGUUGAUUUGAAGGCUUUGUUUUUGGCAAGUUGAGGGAUUUUGCAUACUUGGCAUUUUGUGGAUUGGUAUUGAUUGUCGCACAUAUAUAUACAUAAACUGUUUUUGGGAGGGCGAUGUUUGGUUCUAGUACAGCUACCGGCCAUGAAGAUACUGUAGUGGUUCCUAUGCGCUUUGUGUGGCCGUACGGAGGGAGGAGUGUCUUUCUCAGUGGCUCUUUCACUGGUUGGACUGAACACAUAUCUAUGUAACCAAUGGAGGAUGCCCGACUGUUUUCCAAGUUAUUUGCAGCUUAACACCAGGACACCACCAGGUUGGCUGACUGCAAUGCUUGAUAUUAUUCUCAUAACUCAGCUUGUCAAGGCAUUUUUAAGAGCUAUGAGACUUGAGUAUAUUUAAUGUCAUAGCAUGUGUUAUUUGAAAUAUUUUCAUUGUAUAAUUGGCGUCCUGGAAUUUUUGAUAUGAAUGUUAUGUCUAUAUGUAGUAUAGCAGUUAACGCCAAUGAUUAUCAAGGAGCAAACAUGGACAGAAUGUGAAAUGCUACUUCUUAAUAGUUAUAUCCAAUACAUUCUUGCACAUAAAGUGUUAAGAGACAAAA